RNAcentral lists this ribosomal RNA (381 nucleotides) under uncultured bacterium. Its description in RNAcentral is "bacterial SSU rRNA". It matches the Rfam family "Bacterial small subunit ribosomal RNA", at positions 29 to 412 of the family's 1533-position model. The record is from RNAcentral.
AUUGAACGCUGGCGGAGUGCUUUACACAUGCAAGUCGAGCGGCAGCGCGGGGCAACCUGGCGGCGAGCGGCGAACGGGUGAGUAAUACAUCGGAACGUGCCCAGACGUGGGGGAUAACUACUCGAAAGAGUGGCUAAUACCGCAUACGAUCUACGGAUGAAAGCGGGGGAUCGCAAGACCUCGCGCGUCUGGAGCGGCUGAUGUCGGAUUAGCUAGUAGGUGAGGUAAAGGCUCACCUAGGCGACGAUCCGUAGCGGGUCUGAGAGGAUGAUCCGCCACACUGGGACUGAGACACGGCCCAGACUCCUACGGGAGGCAGCAGUGGGGGAAUUUUGGACAAUGGGGGCAACCCUGAUCCAGCCAUGCCGCGUGAGUGAAGAA